UGCAACUUCACUGGCAUUGUUGGAAUCCUUCCACCUAGUUGAUUUUGUCCAAGUUGGAGUUCCAACAGAGAAUCCAUGCUGUUGAUACCGUCAGGUAUCGAACCAUUAAGAUUGUUGCCUUGUAAGUUCAACUGAGCAAGGCUUUGCAAGCUUGAAAUUGAAGGAGGUAUUAAACCAGUAAGAGAAUUCCAGCUGAUAUUGAGAGUUGACAGCUUGUGUAAUUGAGAGAUUUGUGGAGGGAUUUCUCCAUACAGCCUGUUGAGUUGAAGUUUCAAAACUUGAAGACUACUAAUAUUACCCAAUUCCAUUGGCAAUUGACCUGUAAGAGUAUUCUGAGCCAAAUUCAACAGCGCCAAAUUCUGGCAAUAACCCAACUGAGCAGGCACGACACCCGUCAAUCUAUUGUUAUCCAGCUCCAAGUACAUCAACUUAUGGCCUGGCGUGAACGAAGAAGGGACCGAGCCAUUGAGAAAGUUGCCUCCCAAUCUCAGUCUGAUCAGGCUUUGUGAUAUAUUAUCAGGAAUUGAACCAUUCAACAGAUUAUAAGACAAAUCCACAGUUCGCAAAUUCGACUGCGAUAAAAGGUCUGAUGGAAUAGACCCAGUUAAAUUAUUAUAACUAACAUCUAAAAAGCUAAGAUGU
Molecule: unclassified non-coding RNA, 642 nt
Filed under: Hevea brasiliensis (rubber tree)
Lineage: Eukaryota; Viridiplantae; Streptophyta; Magnoliopsida; Malpighiales; Euphorbiaceae
Source: RNAcentral